GUGCCCUUGGUGUACGGUAACACACGUCUUCAUGGUAUGCUCAUCAGCCACUUAAUUCAAGACGAGUCCGGGGUUCGACUCCCCGAGGGCGUA
This is a non-coding RNA of Mycena olivaceomarginata, 93 nucleotides long. NCBI's taxonomy places the organism in Eukaryota, Fungi, Basidiomycota, Agaricomycetes, Agaricales, Mycenaceae. The record is from the annotation of a GenBank genome assembly.